AGUCGAACGGGGCAGUUMGCAAUGGACUGUUCAGUGGCGCACGGGUGCGUAACGCGUAUGCAACCUACCUUAAACUGGGGGAUAGCCUUCCGAAAGGGAGAUUAAUACCGCAUAAGAUCAUUUGAUGGCAUCUGAAGAUGAUUAAAGAUUUAUUGGUUUAAGAUGGGCAUGCGUGCCAUUAGCUAGUUGGUAGUGUAACGGACUACCAAGGCGACGAUGGCUAGGGGUUCUGAGAGGAUGAUCCCCCACACUGGUACUGAGAUACGGACCAGACUCCUACGGGAGGCAGCAGUAGGGAAUAUUGGGCAAUGGACGGAAGUCUGACCCAGCCAUGCCGCGUGCAGGAAGAAGGCCUUCUGGGUUGUAAACUGCUUUUAUAUAGGAAGAAAACGCCCAUGCGUGGGAAACUGACGGUACUAUAUGAAUAAGCACCGGCUAACUCCGUGCCAGCAGCCGCGGUAAUACGGAGGGUGCAAGCGUUGUCCGGAUUUAUUGGGUUUAAAGGGUGCGUAGGCGGCCCGUUAAGUCAGUGGUGAAAGCCUCCAGCUCAACUGGAGAACUGCCAUUGAUACUGACGGGCUUGAGUACAGACGAGGUUGGCGGAAUUGAUUGUGUAGCGGUGAAAUGCAUAGAUACAAUCAAGAACUCCGAUUGCGUAGGCAGCUA
This 666-nucleotide ribosomal RNA is filed under the name uncultured bacterium. RNAcentral describes it as "bacterial SSU rRNA". It matches the Rfam family "Bacterial small subunit ribosomal RNA", at positions 60 to 727 of the family's 1533-position model. The record is from RNAcentral.